CAAAAGGAUGCACCUGGCUUGGGCGUUACCCUUGAAUGUAGGUAAUCACCCAAAUCACAACAGUCUUUAAAACUAAUGAAUAGGGGCCAUCAGCAAGAGAAGAAAGCCCUACUAGAAAAACAUGGCUCCUAGUAAAGAAUGGCUCUAUUAAGAACCAGGAACUCACAAGUUCUUCUAUGGGGAUAUGAAAUUGAAAUUUAUUUCCCAUUCCAUUUUCUGUUUUAAUGGGGUUUUUAAAAAUAUCUUUGGCUACUGAGACUAUCUUUAAAGGGCCAAAUUGUGAUGAAUUUGCAUAUCAGAUAUGCUCAAAUUGAAGGCAAUCUUUGAUACUGUCAAAUCUAACUCUUUUAUUUGGGGGGAGGUAACUGCAGCCCAGAAAAAGUAUUCUUUUUCUAGCUGGAGAUCUCAGAGCUUUUAGCUGUCCUCUGAUACCAGCCACCAGACUCACCUCCUCCUGGCAGCCUACCAGAAUCUCAGAAGCGGCAGCCUCAUCAAAAAACACGCAAGCCUCAGGAUAUACCACCAUGAAGCAAUUUAGAGAAACUCUGAAUGCAGGGCAUGACGGUCUUGAUGAAGCGUUUGAACAUCUCCGUGUCCCACAGGAAGAAAGAACAAUUUCCAGGCUGUGCUGGGACAGAGGAUGGGGAGCGUCUGACCAUUUUUCUGAAGGAAACAAUUCUGUUGAUUGGAACAGGAUUUUGCAAAUGACUACUUCGUUUUUCAGAGGUUGCAGCUUUUAAAAAUCUCUUAACAUCAGUUUUACAUUUAUCCUUGUUGUGGCUGCUUUUUUUAAGUGGAACUAAUAAUCAAGCCUUUUUAGGGCAAGUUUAUUGUUGUGGGUGCAAGUGUCCUGCAUCCAACCCCACACAGCUACCUUCCCACUAUUAGGUGGGAAGAAAAGCUUUCGGGUCCUUUCAUUAUUCCUCCUUUGUCCUAAAGCCAGUGGUGUGUUUUUGAUUUUCAGAGAGAAAGGAGAGUGUGUUUAUGGUUUUGUCUUUAUUUUUAGACCCUUCAAUUCUUCCUCUCACAGUGUAUAUUGUUAUAGCGAUCUCAAGUUCUAAUUUAUUUGUUGUUAAAAUGCUCAUUAUGCAUUUGCCUUAUUUUGAUUGAAAUUAAAUAAGUACAAAGUUAA
Bubalus bubalis (water buffalo) is the source of this 1132-nucleotide long non-coding RNA. RefSeq lists it as uncharacterized. The transcript is spliced from 4 exons. The record is from RefSeq and is a predicted model, not a curated record. NCBI's taxonomy places the organism in Eukaryota, Metazoa, Chordata, Mammalia, Artiodactyla, Bovidae.